CCCAUACAAAAUUUGUUGUACUCUCCCAUAAUAUCCCGAUUUUUCUAUUUACACUCCACCAUGAAUCAUAAGAGGGAGAAACAAAGAAGAAGAAAGAAACAGGGAGAAGAAAAAAAGGACAAAGAACCCUUCCAUUUCCAUGUAAAAGCAACCUUGAACUUCAAGUCUUGAAAAUACUAAUCAUGCCAACAAAGAAGCAUGACCACACACCUUCUUAUUAUGUAAAGCCUUGCCCUUUGCUCUCUAAUAACUCCUCCAAGUCCUUUGUUUGAUGAAGAUGAUAGCCUUCUCUUUGAGCCUCCAAUGGUAGCACUACUACCCAUCUUCAUUUUUCUCCGCUUAACUCUUUUUUCUUCUCUCUUAGAAAUGGAUAAAUAAUGGGGUUGUUUUUGUUUCCACUCUUUGAACAUGUGUGUGUGAUGUGUGACUUGGUUUAGAAUUGGUGAGAAGUGAGGGUUCUUAAAGGGCUUUCAGGGUGUGGUCCAAACACACCUUGGUCUAGUAAAGAGCCAGCUAUGGGGCAUGAAAGGGUGUGCAAUGCUUCCAAUAUCACCAGACAGGUACUAAUUGGACCCCAUCUUCA
RNAcentral lists this long non-coding RNA (583 nucleotides) under Lupinus angustifolius (narrow-leaved blue lupine). RNAcentral describes it as "long non-coding RNA (LANG_LNC000336)". Lineage: Eukaryota; Viridiplantae; Streptophyta; Magnoliopsida; Fabales; Fabaceae. The record is from RNAcentral.